UGAUCCGCGGCGGGAGAGUCCCGCACCCGCGGGCGCCGAAGGAGCAAGUCCUCCCCGGGAAUCUCUCAGGCACCUGUACCGCCGCGGCGAG
Molecule: non-coding RNA, 91 nt
Filed under: Tersicoccus phoenicis
Lineage: Bacteria; Bacillati; Actinomycetota; Actinomycetes; Micrococcales; Micrococcaceae
Description: Glycine sequence
Rfam family: Glycine riboswitch aptamer
About the family: This family represents the bacterial glycine riboswitch. Glycine riboswitches usually consist of two metabolite-binding aptamers domains with similar structures in tandem.
Source: Rfam by way of RNAcentral